UGAGUCGAUCCUAAGCCAACUGUGAAAGCAGUGACAUCCCGACAAAGGGGCAUUACGUGCGCUGCACUUACACCCCCACGGCAAAGCUCUGAGAUAUAUAUAUAUCUCUCUCUCUCUGACGAUAAAGGUGUCUGGUACGGAAUAUGCGCACGCACGGUGAUCACUACAAAUACGUGUGUGAGUGUGUGCGCUUGUAUGGUUACGCUCAUAAGCGUUGUUGCUCUCUGGUAAAAGGAUAAAGCAUAAGAGAGAGAGAGAGAGACACACAGAGUGUGGGUGAGCGUGAGUUUGCUCUCGCAUGAGCCCCCUGCGUCUGGUUCUAUGUCUGGCGAAAGGGAAUGGGGACUUUGUUCCUUGACCGGUCCCGGCACCCUCGAUUGGCUUUGCCAAUUAAUGGUCCAUGCAAAUGGAACCAGGCCACAGC
RNAcentral lists this ribosomal RNA (424 nucleotides) under Niphargus stygius. RNAcentral's name for it is "partial large subunit ribosomal RNA". Lineage: Eukaryota; Metazoa; Arthropoda; Malacostraca; Amphipoda; Niphargidae. The record is from RNAcentral.